GCCGGGCUCCCGUGCAGGCUGGGUGAGGGCUGCGGUGCGACCCGACGACCGCGCAGAGGCAGAGGAGGGCGCGCGAGCUCGCGGAUGAGGGGCUGAGCAGGGCGUCGCGGCGGGGCGCUGGUCCGGUGAUCCCGACAGUGCCGCGGGAGAGGCGCGCGCCAGCCGGGACACGCGGGCGAGCGUCACCGAGCGCGGAGGGCCGGGCUCCCGCGUUCAGGCCCUGUGCUGCUGGGCGUGUGUGAAGCGUGCCCGCGAAACCGUCCCAGUUUAAAAAGAGCACAGUUCGCGAUUUGGCUGCAUAGGUUCAGUGUACUGCCAGUGCUUAUUGGCAUUUUCGUUUAUUUGUCCCAAACGUGUGCAUGGCCCCGAGAAGGAAGGCAGACCCCCGAGACAGGUCCAGGUCCCAGCUCAGUGGUGUUUGCAGUGUUUGGCCGGGGAAGACUUGGCGAGGGCCAGGAAGUCCGAGGCGAUGGAACAGGGCCGGGGACUCAGCUCAGUGGUGCCGCCGCCUGCUUCGCAAGCGCAAGGUCCCGAGUUCGAUCCCCGGUACCAAAAAAAAAGCGAUGGAAAGAACCACCUCUUGCUUCCCAUUUAGACCUGCCGUGUGCAGAGCUGAGGACUGGGUGUAGACUUCACAAAAUGAAGGGCGAAUUUGUCCGACCUGUUACUACCUAUUAGGUAUUUCUAGGCCCAACUGAAGAGUCAUGGUGUUUUGUUGUUGUUGACUUUGACAAAAACCACUUUUAAGUUGUUGACUGUCACAGAAGUAGCACAGACCAUGCUUAUAUUUCCCCUUGAGAUAGGGUCUUGAUACAUAGCUCAGGAGGGUCUUGAACUCACUGUGCACCCCAGGUUGGCCUUGAACUUGCAGGCAUCGUCCUCCCUCUGCCUGCCAAGUGCUGGAAUUGCAGGUGUGCACCAACACGCCUGGCUAAAUCAUGCUUAUUUUUUUGUGCCGGGGAUCAAACUCAGGACCUUGCACUUGCGAGGCAGGUGUGGUGCCACUGAGCUACAUCCCCAGCCCCUUAAAUCAUGUUGUGGUGAGUAACAGGCUAAGGAUCCCUGGAGUUUGUUUGUUUUUUCCAUCCCUGUGGUGGUCUCCGUGGUCCUCUCAAUAUCAUGGUCUCCAACUGUGUCGUGACCAGGAUGUCCCCAGCAUGUAAAAAGUUGCAGGAAGAGGACAGGAGUGGGCUGGGGGGCCUCCAUCAGGGUGAAAGGCUAGGGAGGACCUGCUGGUGGAGGGAGUGUCUGGGAGAAGCGUCUGAGCACUCUUCUUCAGGGGCUGCAGCUUCUCAGGGGCUGAAAACAACAGAAGGAACCGUGUUGGUUCUUGCAGGAGCCAAGCUGAGCCCACACCCUGAGAAACCAGAACUAAAGGAGCAGAUGGAAGAGAGAAAGUCUGCACAAGUGGAGGAAGAAAAUCCCCCAGAAUGGAUAAGGUCAUGGUAGACUAGGUGGAAACCAAAAUUGGGGAGGAAAAGUUGGAUAAGAAACUGUAGGGUGGGCUGGGAUUUAGCUCAGUGGCACCACGCCUGCCUUGCAAGUGCAAGGUCCUGAGUUUGAUCUGCAGUGUCAAAAAAAACAAGAAGAAAGAAACUGCAGGGAAGCUGAGGAUGGCGCAUGUCCUCCAGCCUUCCAGGCACAGCCUGCACCAAGCAGUGCGGUCAGGAGGGAAAGGGAUUCCACCGUGGAUUCAUGCGCCAGGUCAAGGAGCUCCCCUGGGUGGACUCAGAGCAGGAUUAUGUGGCCUGGAAGUGCCCAGUCCGAGGGAGGGAAGAGAGCACUGUGAGGGCCCGGCCCAGGCCCCAGGGACUAGAAUCUGGAGCCGCCCUCAUUGUAGGUGCCAGGCGAGUGUGAGGAGUGUGAGCAUGGGGGGAAUGCCUUGGCCAGAGAAGGUGGAGACCGCACCUUCAGCUGUUCUGCUGUGACUUAGGGAGGUGCAGGACGGGGGACUCCUGCCUCAGAACUAGUGAGAUUCUUCUGUCCUCCUCCACUUGCAACCAGUGAAGAUUUGGACACAGCAUCUCUCACAGACUUAGUAAUUGUUCAGGUUUUCUCACCCUGUGUUAAAACUUGGGAGUUUAGAUAACAGAAAGACGUUCUCACUUUCCCAAAGCUCUAGAGGGAGAACACAAGCAGUUUGAACACCAUGUGGCAUUUACCCUGCAGUAGGGGUGUGGCAGCACAGAAUGUGGUGGACAGGGCGGAGAUGCUGUGCUUCGGGACAGGAGAGCAGCAGAGGAGGCCCUGAGCACAGUCCCAUUUCACCAGAGCUUGCAGGUGGGCAUCAGCAGGCGGGGCUGUGUGGGCAGGCUGCUCUCUCAGGUGGUGACGGUUUCCUCUGGAGAAGGAGCCUGUGUGUGACAGGACACCCAGGACAUGUGGGCAGAAAUACCUUUGCAGUGAUGAGAUGUUUGCAAUCACGUCAGUGCUGUCAUUGAGCAAGCACUGUUCAGAUCCUUCUCCAUGCUGGGCCCUAAGCUGGAAACUGUGCAGACAGAGCCAAAGAAACUGUCAUCCCAGCAUCCCCAGAGCUCUCAGACACGAAAAGCAGCAAGUGAUGGGAAGGACUCGGACAAAGAAGCCGCUGCUGGGUGGGACUGCAUCGGUGUUUGUGUUAAUUCUCCAUCUGGCUUCUCCCGCAGCUGCCACACCUGUCUGAAGGUAAUGACUGUGACCUCUCAAAAUAUCACCACCUCCUUGGCUCCAGGUUGGCUGAAGGCCACUCACAUUGCUCAGGUCUGAGGAUGCAGGUGACCUCAUCAGUGUCCCCUGACCGUGUCCCUGUCAGCUGCAGAAACCAAGAGGCAAGGUCAGUAAAACUUACAGGUUUCUCCCUGCCAUGUUACCCUCAUGUUCUUGGCUCUGUCAGGUAAGAGCUUUUAAACUUCACUCUUCUGUCUGCAUGAAGGCAAAUUACAUACUGGUCAUAUUCCUCAAACUGUAAUACUUGUUUUAUCCUCAAAUUUGAAAUAAAAUAGGGUAAAAAAUGAAGCCCUUCAUAUAGGGGUGUGUGAGACUAAAAUUCAGGUUUUACGAUGCUCAAGUGGUUGAAGAACAUGUUUUUAUUCUGCUAAAACAAGAAUGAGCUAAUACCCCUGCUGUGCUCCUCUUGUUGGCCUUAUCAGAUAUAAAAGCUCUACUGAGCUCCAGAGCUUAGAUCUGCAGCAGUUUAGCUCAUGCAGUGCAUUUGCUGCCCUGUGCUUAAAACACUGCUGGUUACACAGGGGACGCAGAGUUGGGCACGGCAGCCCUUAGAGGAGCUUCGCGUAUUUGCACCAGGGUCACUAAGGACUGUCAGUACCUUCUGUGACAACAUCUCUCGUGGACAGUUCUGAGCCCACUCUGGAGAAAGGGAAGAGGACAGUGACGGGGCACAGCCCUGGGCUCUCUGCCUCCCAAAGAUUUAGGAUGAAAGGACCCUGGGGAAUCUCUUCGGGGAGUGUCCUACAGGUGAGGGUUCACACACACUUCGCAUGGCUCCCAUCCCUGGUUUCCUUUCACAGAUAAUCGUCAGAUUUAGCAACAUCAGGAGGAGCCAGCCAGACAUGGACUGCAGAGCCUCAGUUCAAGAUGCUGCUGAGAAAGUGAAGCAGGCAGGAGUCAGUGCCGGAGAGGGGUCCAUGUCGGUGUCGGGAGAGCGCAUUGGUGGCCUUCAGCAGUGGUGGUGAAUCCUGGAGAGACGUCUGUCCCCAGGAGUCCCCGAUGACAGCUCCAGAUGCCAGAUGACUAAUAGAACCACUCCCUUGUGUUGACCUCACAGGAAGUCCUUGGAUGUACAUCUACUGCUACCGAGGUCACCAUGGCAGUACCACGCAGCCCCAGUCCAGGGGCUGAAGUGAAUGUUGUGGAGUUCAAGGAGUAUAAGUGCUCUUGGGUGGGAGACAAUGAACUGCAAUUUGAAGACCGCAGAUCAAGUUCCGUUAGACCUGAAGCAGCUCUUGGCUCCCUGGACACCAAAGUGCAGAAACGUGGUGAGUUGUGUAGGUUCACAGUAAGCAGGAUGAUAAAUGGUUCUGUUUUCUCUCCACAAAUGAAAUAGUUUCCAAAAGUGAUUCUUUUCUUCACUUUAUUGAAAUUAAUUUAUCUUCCCAUAUUUGUAGAAAGGCAGAAGUUGGUAUCUUGCCCUCCAUCUGGAUGGAAAACUGGGGCUCAAAGCAUUUACCAGUGUCUCCCAGUUCACACCAGGAGUGGGGUGGGACCCAGGUAAAAAUCCCAGUUACCGAUUCCCGUUGAAGGCAGGGAAUGGUGUGCUUUUCUCAAGAAUGGGUCAGGCCAUUUCGGUUAGGACCCUCUGUGUCCCUCUCGGACCCUCCAGAUGUGUAGCAUCGCUCUUGGCCUAAGGUUCUGGGACCAGGGCCCUUGCCUUGCCCUGAAGCUUCCAUGGAGUCUGAGUGGGCACAGCACCUGCUGGUUAUGUUGGGGCAAGCUGGGGCGACAGGUUUCAGAGGAGCUGGGGGGCCGGGGUUCCGCUCCUAACUGAACCUAUGGCAGCCACCGUUGUCACCACGGAGACCAGGGACUUGAUUGGCAGUGGGGAAGACCUGCUUCGUGGACACAGGCUCUCAGGCAUCCAGGAGAGCCGUGCCUGUCACUCAGUGGAGGGUGUGUCUGGGACAGGAGACUGUGGCCCCCGUCUGUCUCUCCAAGAGCGGGUGGACUAGGGAGGGGCUGGGCAGCAGGUCCAGGUGGACCUUGGGGGCCUGAGUCAGACUUGAGGCCGCAGGAGAGGCGGUGUGGAGGAGGCCAGCUGUGGCCCGGCCCAGGUCCCAAGCAGGGCGCCGCCUUCCCGUGCUGGGCCCCCAUAGCAGAGCGAUCGGCCUGUGCAGGAGAGGGGCUGUGGUGACCAAGGAGUCAGGGACCAGCUGGACCAGCGCUGGGGAGGUGCUUUGGGGCUGGGCCGAUGGGGGUGGAGCCCUGGCUCUCAGAACCAUUUUGUUCUUUUCCAGUUAUCUUUAAUUGUUAUUCUUCGUACUUGGUCAUCUACUUGUUUUGCUUUUUGCUUUUAUCUUGUUUUUUAUUUGGAGACAGAAAGUCACCUUGUAGCCUGGGUUGGGCUUGAACUUGCAGCAUUCUGCCUCCUUCAGCCUCCUGAGUGGCUAAGAUUACAGACUUGCAAAGACAAAUGUGCCCUUCAGCCCGGCCAGUGGCAGCACCCUGCUUCAGGGCAGCUGCGUGCGAGCCAGGAAGUCGGUGGUUGGCGGAAUGCACGGAGCAUCCCCAGGUGCCAGGCUGCAGGCAUGAUGUCGCCUGCCUGCCUGCCGUGUUGGAUCUUAACACCUAUGACUCUCAGGAGACCCGACUGCUCUGUCGCCACCUCCUGGCCGGGAGGAGUUGUCCUGUUCACAGCAGACGCCUGGGAGUGCAACCACAGGACUACCCACAGUGAGGGGUUCCAGGACGGUGACGGGAGUGAGGAGCCAGGUCUGCCUCAGCCCACCAGCCCUGAGGAGCAGCUUCCGGAUCACAGAGAAGACAGGGAUCCCCUUCUGGUGGCCACAGUGCAGGACAGAUACCACCUGUGACCCUCAGCCUCUCAUGCUGUCCCUGGGGUAGGAAUGUGGGCUGUGGCUGAGGAAUGGGAAGACCCAGGUCCCCAAACUGCUCCCAGAGCUGCUGUCUCCUGAAAUCCCACCAUCACUCACUCUGCUGGGGCUUUAUCAUUCCUGUGUUCCCGUCCUCCAGCUGACCCG
RNAcentral lists this long non-coding RNA (5693 nucleotides) under Heterocephalus glaber (naked mole-rat). Its description in RNAcentral is "lncRNA (ENSHGLG00000038842.1)". Lineage: Eukaryota; Metazoa; Chordata; Mammalia; Rodentia; Bathyergidae. The record is from RNAcentral.